Tarenaya hassleriana is the source of this 513-nucleotide long non-coding RNA. RefSeq lists it as uncharacterized. The record is from RefSeq and is a predicted model, not a curated record. NCBI's taxonomy places the organism in Eukaryota, Viridiplantae, Streptophyta, Magnoliopsida, Brassicales, Cleomaceae. The transcript is spliced from 3 exons.
UGCUGAAGUGGCCGCUCCUCGAGAGAGCUAGGCCUCAUUGGAUCGUCCUCCUCUCCAUCCGAUGUUUAGCGGGUCGUUUGAACUCUUUUGUGUGUUCGUGUUUUUCUUUCAGCUCAUGCAAUCAUCCACCCAACAGUCUAUGAAGAUACACCGGAUCGGGUAGGACAGUUUGCACAUAUUACAAGCUUGAUCCAUUCCACUGCUGCUUGUAAUUGAUCCGACCACAAGCCAAAAGAUGCGUCUUUGGUGUGGAAUGAUUGAACUAGAGAGAUUGCUAGAUGGAUCCAAAAUCUGCAUGGAUUUUAGCCUUGUGACCUAAUAAAGGUGACAAAUUUUUUUAAAAGUAUAAUCUACAUUUUCUUCCAAUUUCUCUGCGCUCAAGAGAUAUAGCCAAAGAUUCCAGUAUAGCCAUGCGUAACAAAAGAAGAUCAUUGUCUCUUUCUAAAAUCACAUAUUUAACAAAUAAAAUAAGAGUUGCUAUCUUAUUUCGAUCUUACAAAAUUACAAUUUAUA